Sphaeramia orbicularis (orbiculate cardinalfish) is the source of this 84-nucleotide long non-coding RNA. RefSeq lists it as uncharacterized. The transcript is spliced from 3 exons. The record is from RefSeq and is a predicted model, not a curated record. NCBI's taxonomy places the organism in Eukaryota, Metazoa, Chordata, Actinopteri, Kurtiformes, Apogonidae.
CAGAACGUUCUGUGGUGCACAGGGGCUGUUUCUCAUAUGGACAAAGUGGGCAAUUGCCCAGGGCAGCAUUUCAUGAGGGGCGCC